GCUGCACCCCAGCGUUUCCCGCCGCAGUCCCCCCCCCCCCCCCCCCCCCUCCACCCCCUGCUUCCGAUUCCCGCUUCAGCUAUACCCGCAAGUCCUCGUCCCACCCCCGCUACCCCGUGUCCUGGGGACCGGGUCAAGAUGUGCGUAGGUGCUGGGAGGUAGACACCCCUCCUUCCUAGCCCCAGGCGUCACCCACGCCCAGGCCAGCACUGGAUCUUCCACUUACCUAACCUCCCCUCUCCCAAGUCCCAAGGCCACCCCCUGUGCCCCUCCUGAGAGCGGGUGACAAGCUGCUGAGACAGUGUCUGAUUCACCGACAGCUGAACCAGCUACGCGUACUUGGAGGUUUGCACUAUAAGAAAUGCUAAAGAAAACUCUUCAGGAUGAAAGAAAAUGAAACCUGAUGGAGACUCAGAUCUUUAGGAAGGAAUGAAGAGCAUCAUAUAUGGAGAGCAUCACCUUGUGGUCAGUGAGUUCAAACUCCCGGGCUCUGCUACCGAUGGAGACAGUCUGUUGUCGACCUUGAGCGACUUUCACAUUCUCUCUGGAUGCCUGUUUCCUUGCUUGGUGAAUAAACCAGGAGCAGACCAGAGUGAAAGUGGGAGACCAAUUCAGAGGCAAUUUCAGUGGUCCAGGUGGGAGAGGAUGGAGACCUGGACAAGAUGAUGGCAGAUGGAGAUGGAGAGAAGAGUUCCUUCUUUUUUAUUUAAAAUGCUGAUUUUUGAAGUAGCAAGCAACUGUUCAAGGUACCACUCAGGAAGAUGAGCAAAUCGAGGAAGUCCCUCUGGCCUAAAAAUUCUAUCAACUUGCCCAGGAAAUGAAGGCCUGAGAAUUGCACCAGGUGCUCGCUGGCCUCCUAGAUGCAUCUCAGCCUCUGCAUGGGCCAGAAAUGAGUAAUGUAUAACCCCCAAGGGUGACACAAGAUCUCCCACCCAAUUCUGUUCUUCUGGGUAUUUAGGGAAGAGCAAUAUCCAGGGCAAGGUGACGGUACUUCGCUCCACGGGACCGAAAUUUAGCAUCAACUGGAGAGUUGAAUCUAGAGGGUGGUCUGGGAGGCUGGGUAGAAUUGGAUUGAUUAUUAGGAGAAAAUUCGAAUAAUAUCAUUUAAGUACACACACAUUCUGAAUUAAAUACACAUUUGUGGAUCCCUGUACUUCUUAAUAAAAGGACACUUAGUUCCAAGUUCUCGUUAAGAAGCUGAUAAGCAUCCAUUUUCUUCUAUUCCGACAAUGAUUAUUCCUCAACUCUAUAAAAUUUACAAACUGCUUCGGAAGCAUUGGUGGAGAAAGGUGUUGUAUGAAUAUAUGAGAUUAUUGAAAUAAAUGCUGAUUUAGAGAUUUCCCAGGUGGAGAGUUAAAAUAUACUGGGGCACACGCACACACUCUCACCCCACCCUCAGGGUACUUUCCGCUCUGAUCAGCGGAGACAAAUUUUCCGACCUGACAGUUGACUGUAAAUCAAGAAGUGUGUUUUAAUAGUCACCACCUUUCUGCUUCUGUGUGCUGCUGUCUGAGGCAAUCCUUCACCUCCCGGGACACAAGACCUGAAGGAUUUUGGCACAUUCUCUCCCCUGCACAUGGAGAGGUGGUGCUUAGCAGCAAGGUAAAUAUUGGCAGGCUUGUAGGCGAGCAGUGAAUAUAAAUAAGUCAGGACAUCCUUAGAAAAGUUAAUCUCUGGAUCCACCGUUCUUUUUGCCAAUAGGUAAGAAAAUAGAAAAUCAUGAGUUUCUCAGGUUUUUGCCAAAUCACAACAAGAUAUUUUUGUAACAAUAUAAAAGCUAGAAAGUAUUUGAGAGUCAGUAAAUGCUGAGUAAAUAAUUCUGAAGGUGAACACAUGCCCUGAUUGCCACAAGCCCUGAUUACUGGGUUGGAUUACUACACUUGCUCCUCCUGACUUUAUCCCUCAUAAUCCUGUCCAUCAGCGUUUGCUUGGAGUAACGCAAAUAAAUCAGGCUGUUCCAUGCCCCAGUGUCUUUGCACCUGCUGCUGUUUAUGCCCGGACUGGAACCCUUUCCAUUAAUCCACGUGGGCCAGGGACAUUUUCUGAUCUUUCAACACUUGGUACCAGGAUCACCUUUAAUCUGCUUUAUGAAGCUUUUCUUGACAAACUCUCUCACUCCCAGACCUGCCACUUCAUCCUGUACAAAUGUGAUUGCACAUGUCUAUUUAACACAAACAUCACUGGCCUCUCUUGGCAAGUCUCUGCUCAUAUCCUGUACUCCCUCUGAGGCCACAAUCAACACUUCAUUGCUACCCAGUUGCCCUUUGUGACUUCUCAAGCCUCUUCCCAAAGCAUUUUAAGUAAUGUAGCUUUUACUGAAAUGUUCACAAGGGAGAAAAGUGGAGGGCUUACACUGAACACCAUGUGGCCAAACUUCAUAAAAAUCCCCACUAAAAAUCUCCAUCAUUCCAAAAGCCUGUUCUCCUUUUGCCAGCUGCCUUCUCUCCUCUGUCUCUUCCAUUCUCUGCUCUCCUCUAACCUCCUUUCACCCUUGGAUCCCUCAACACGGCCACAAUCCCAGCUCACAAUCCAGCCCUUUCAGCCCUUUCUCCUUCAUUAACUUGUGUCCUUGAAGUUUUAGGUCCUAUUCAUCAAACAAAGUAUCUCUGUGAGAUCACUCCCCUUUAAAAGGCAAGGGUCACAAAAUCUCCACAUUUCUUCUCCUUCCACUAAAGACUGGAGCAACUUGAGGGUAGGAAUCAAGCCCUAUACACUUUUGCAUCUCUUCUGCAAAAUAUUUAAAAUAUUGUGAAAUGGAAGAAGAAAUAAAUGAAAAAAUAUAGCCAAGGUUAAAAUCCCCAAAGCCCCACUCUAAUCACAGUUUUCUUCUGUUUGAAGAUCUUCCUUACCUCGUCAACUCAUGCUUUGGUCAUCUGCCAUUUCUCCCUGACUCUAGCACUCUUCCCCGCCAUGAUGGGCCCUCUCCACUCCAGCCCACUGGGCAUGUUCUUGCCCUCAGGUGCUCAUUCGGGUUGUCUCUCCAGGCCUGGAAUAAUCUAUGUCAUUCAUGAGGAUGGUUGGCGGUGGUUUACCAUCACCCUAUUGGAGGCCAAGGUAGACGCAACUGUUCUGGUUUCGUAGGUCCGUCCUAACCCUUCCCAGUCUUCAAGGCUCAGUGCGGGUCUUUGCUUCCUCAGCAGACUUCAUGGAGGUCUGCAGUCCAGGCGUAAUGCUCUCUCUCAUGUCCUUAGGACAUAAGCCUUGAACAGAUCCACUCUGAUGGCACUUAAUCAUUCAGCCUUAUAUUAUUGUGAAAUUCGGGGUAUGAGGCCUUGAGGUCAUCCUCUUUCCAAAAUGUGGUCAUCAUUAGGUCUGUUCACCAAAAUUUUAGGUGUUUUCCUCAUUUCUAGACUUGUGGUAAGUUUGUACUUGUCUAACCCCUUGAAGCUAUGUGUGGCUGUCUAAUUGACUCUGGCUAAUGACAUGUGAACAGAAUUGACAUAAGCCCCUUUGGGAAAGAAGCUUUCAGAGGAAGAGUGAUGGAUCAUGCUGUCUUUCCCUCUGACAUGGCAACUGGCAGUGUUUGAGGCAUCUGGUGGAUUGUUCAUCAGCCUGGGUCUGUGAAUGAGGACCCAGCGAUUCACAUGGGCAUUUGGUAUGAGCAAGAAGUAAACCUUUGUUAUGUUAUGCCAUUUAGAUUCAGAGAUUAUUUGAACAAUUAAUAACAUAAGUAAAUAAAUGUGUGUUGCUGCAGCACAACCAAUCCUAUCCAGACAGACUCUAAGUUCCCUGAAGGCAGCACUCAGGUAUAACUCACCUUUCUGUCCCCCAGAGAACAUAGCACAAUGCCUCACGGAUGUUCGAGAACUACUGCUGAUUGAUUACACAUACUGUGAUAAGGUAAAAUAUAUGAGACUAGAGAGUGGUACUUGGUGUCAGGACUUCAACUUGAGACUUAGCCUCUAAAAGACCAAAAUAAAUGUACGUGAUGAUUUCAGUAGUAUUCCAAUAAGAUCAUUGCAUACAGGGAGGCAGAAGAGUAUAAUGCAAGGAACCUGGGCUCUCCAGCUGGAUAGACCUGGUUCAAGUGGAAGCUUUACCAGGUACUUGGCUGCAUGACCUUGGGCUGGUUAUUUAAGGUCUUUGAGGCUGGGAGAACAUCACUACUUACUAGGAAGGAUUAUUGUGGGGAUUAAACAAGAGAAUGUAUGGAAAGCCCUUGGCACAUAAUGAAUGGUCAACAAACGUCAUUCUCUUAGGCUCUCCUCCCACCAACUGCGUGUGGGUUGGUACGAACUCUUGCUUAAUUCUCUGGGAACUACUUCCCUUCAUUUACACCCUCUGAGACCUUGGCUGCUCGCCUAGUCCCUGGAUUUCUUUAGCUUGGCCUACCUCAGAUCCUUAGGAUUUUGCUUUCCCUACCCCAUGCACACUCUGGCCUUCUGAGAAAUUCCAUAUGCAAAUGGUCACAGUUGACAGGAGCCCUUGGCAAAGGACUGCAAUGGGGGAAAAGGGUUCUUGAGACAGACUGUCUGCUGCCCCAAAUUUAAAAUAGGGCCCUUGGUAAGGUGUGUAUAGUCAGGGAGGUGAUCUCUAUGGGGAAGAAAGAAUUUAAGAUGUCAUGGUGACCAGUUCCAAGGAAGCCCCACCUUGGCCUGUGCCCUGGCUCUAAUGGCGGGGGGUUCUUCUCUUGAAUCCUGGGAUUGUAUCAGUGAUGGUCGCAGAGAAGUCUGUGAGAUUAUCUUCAAUGACUGACUCCUUCCACAGACUGGGUCUUGGUGUGGGGCCCGAGGGCUUAUGUUUUCUUGGACUCCUGGCCCAGUGAACUGUGUGUUUACAGGUUUACAAUUGUCCCUGACUGAGUCCUUGAGGCCACCUCCCCCCUUCCCCUCCCCAUGGAGCGCAACCGUGAUGUGACAUGUCUAACCACCCCAAGGUGCUUGUGUAACUUGUUUUUCAAAGUCUUGGCAGGAGCUCCGGUCCUGAAGUGAGAAAGGGUGUUUACAUUCUGGAAGAGCAGUGCCGACAAAUGUCUUGCAUCAGGGCUGUUCUCCACGAAUCUCUGCUUCCCAGCAGUUUUCUUCUCUGUGGGAUGGCUUGUGACAGCCACAGAGAUAGUCUGGGACCUGGAAGAAACGAGCCUGAACGUGAAAGCAGGCAUUCAAGGGACAGGGACAACAAAAGCUGUUUCCCUAUAAGGAAAAGAAAAGGUCCCCAGUGCCUGUGACUUCUCUCCCAGUUGUUCAGGCUGUCACAACAUUACAAAUAGUGUUCCCCAAUUUGCCAUAUGGCUUGAGAUUUCAUAAUGAGGGCUUUGGGUCUUUGGCCUUCAUAUGCAUCACCAACAUGAGAAGCUGCCAAUGCUUGCAGUGGAUUCCUUUCUUUAUACAAAAACUUACCAAAAACUCGCUAGUGAAGCAGGAAGAGCACAACUUUGUGGGAGCGGAGCUGGGAAUCUGAAGUGUGAGCGCUGGAUUUGAGUCUCCUAAGCAUGGGUAGCUGAUGACCACAGGAAGGAUCCGUGAGAAAGGCCAGAGAGUGGAAACUGAAACUGACUGACAACAGACUGGAAAGAGAGAGUCUGGAGCCGGGAUUAAGGGACUGUGUUUUCUGCAAGUCCACUGUCCGUCUAGGAGUUGGCAUCUUCCAGGAGAGGCUAGAGCUUGUGAGUCUCAGCUCAGCCUGAGGACCCAUGGAGAAGAACGUAAUUCCAGCUCCAAAGGCCUCUCUUGCACAGAAGAAUUUUUAGCGUUGAGAGGAAGUCUAGAUGAGAAAUGCUGAGGCCAAGAGAGAGAACUUGCCCAAGAUCAUACAGCCAGUAAAUGGGGAAGCUGAGAUUCAAACUCAGUCACUCGGCUUGCGGAAUUGUGACAAUAAGCUGUAUCUUCUGGGUCUGGCUGGGCCCCUGCCAUCCCUAUCAGUUGCUGUGUAUCUCUUAGCAAGGACUGGUCUUUUCUCAUGGUGCUCUGUUCCUUCUCCCAGUGGACCCUUGGUGCAUUUAAAAGUUUCAUGAAUAUAACCAAAUAUCUGACGUGUUCAGGAAGUAGAGGCAGGAAAAGAGAAAGGAGAGGGAAAAGUAAGGCGGCAGUGGGGUGGGUUGAGGAAUGUGCUUUUGAGGCUGGGCUGGAGCAGGCAGUGUGAAGGGGUACAGUGCUGCUCCUCAUCACCAUUACCUGGCAACAGCGUCUGGACCACCUCUGCUUCCAUCUUCACCCCUGACAAUCCAUCCACCCUCCACAUGUCCACUAGGCUUAUCUUUCCAAAGCAGCACUGUCCUCAUCACUCCCCUAGUUCGUGCUUCCUGCUGACAUAUCUGACUUUUCCUGUCCCCAACUGAACUCUUCCUCUCUCCCUCAAUGCCAACUCCCCCUUCCCGCCCCACCCACCGUCUGCUCUUCAGAUGGCCAUUCCAGACUCGCAGUUGGCCCCACCCUCCCUUCCCCAUUCCUGUCCCACUAUUUCCCCACAUGAAGCUCAGCCUGGCAAGUUUUCUGUCUGUCCCUGCAAGCAUGGGGCUUGUCUGAUCUCAGCGCCUUCGCCCAUGUUGUGUCCCUGCCUGGAAUGCACCCAUCCCCCGCCCCCUCUCUAUACCUACUCAUCCUUCAGACCCAGUUCAGGGCUUGCCUCUACCCUGAUAGCUUCCUCUGAUCUCUUCCUUUAUCUUUGCAAAUCUGCUUUUGUAUCAUCCCUUUAGGAAUAUCACCAAAUACUGUAGAGUAUUUAAAUGGUUCAUGUUUAUACCCUCAACCAGAUUCAUUCAUUCAUUUUGAAACUAUUUAUUGAAUUGCCUGUUAAGUUGCAGACACGGGAAGUUCAAUGACAAUGAAAGCAGAAGAGGUGUUAUCACUCCAGGAUCCACAAACAGGGCCAGAACAGUGUGGUGGAGGGCUAUUGUUCUUUUUUUUUUUCUUUUAAAGAUUGACAGCUGAGCUAACAUCUGUUGCUAACCUUCCUCUUUUUUUUCUUCUUCUUCUUCUCCCCAAAUCCCUCC
Long non-coding RNA from Equus quagga, 6931 nucleotides. RefSeq lists it as uncharacterized. NCBI's taxonomy places the organism in Eukaryota, Metazoa, Chordata, Mammalia, Perissodactyla, Equidae. The record is from RefSeq and is a predicted model, not a curated record. The transcript is spliced from 11 exons.